RNAcentral lists this ribosomal RNA (253 nucleotides) under uncultured bacterium. RNAcentral's name for it is "partial 16S ribosomal RNA". It matches the Rfam family "Bacterial small subunit ribosomal RNA", at positions 524 to 776 of the family's 1533-position model. The record is from RNAcentral.
GACGGAGGGUGCUAGCGUUGUUCGGAAUGACUGGGCGUAAAGGGCGCGUAGGCGGCCUGUUAAGUCGAACGUGAAAUCCCCGGGCUCAACCCGGGAACUGCGUCCGAUACUGGCAGGCUUGAAUCCGGGAGAGGGAUGCGGAAUUCCAGGUGUAGCGGUGAAAUGCGUAGAUAUCUGGAGGAACACCGGUGGCAAAGGCGGCAUCCUGGACCGGCAUUGACGCUGAGGCGCGAAAGCGUGGGUAGCAAACAGG